CGAGCGGACAGAUGGGAGCUUGCUCCCUGAUGUUAGCGGCGGACGGGUGAGUAACACGUGGGUAACCUGCCUGUAAGACUGGGAUAACUCCGGGAAACCGGGGCUAAUACCGGAUGCUUGUUUGAACCGCAUGGUUCAAACAUAAAAGGUGGCUUCGGCUACCACUUACAGAUGGACCCGCGGCGCAUUAGCUAGUUGGUGAGGUAAUGGCUCACCAAGGCAACGAUGCGUAGCCGACCUGAGAGGGUGAUCGGCCACACUGGGACUGAGACACGGCCCAGACUCCUACGGGAGGCAGCAGUAGGGAAUCUUCCGCAAUGGACGAAAGUCUGACGGAGCAACGCCGCGUGAGUGAUGAAGGUUUUCGGAUCGUAAAGCUCUGUUGUUAGGGAAGAACAAGUACCGUUCGAAUAGGGCGGUACCUUGACGGUACCUAACCAGAAAGCCACGGCUAACUACGUGCCAGCAGCCGCGGUAAUACGUAGGUGGCAAGCGUUGUCCGGAAUUAUUGGGCGUAAAGGGCUCGCAGGCGGUUUCUUAAGUCUGAUGUGAAAGCCCCCGGCUCAACCGGGGAGGGUCAUUGGAAACUGGGGAACUUGAGUGCAGAAGAGGAGAGUGGAAUUCCACGUGUAGCGGUGAAAUGCGUAGAGAUGUGGAGGAACACCAGUGGCGAAGGCGACUCUCUGGUCUGUAACUGACGCUGAGGAGCGAAAGCGUGGGGAGCGAACAGGAUUAGAUACCCUGGUAGUCCACGCCGUAAACGAUGAGUGCUAAGUGUUAGGGGGUUUCCGCCCCUUAGUGCUGCAGCUAACGCAUUAAGCACUCCGCCUGGGGAGUACGGUCGCAAGACUGAAACUCAAAGGAAUUGACGGGGGCCCGCACAAGCGGUGGAGCAUGUGGUUUAAUUCGAAGCAACGCGAAGAACCUUACCAGGUCUUGACAUCCUCUGACAAUCCUAGAGAUAGGACGUCCCCUUCGGGGGCAGAGUGACAGGUGGUGCAUGGUUGUCGUCAGCUCGUGUCGUGAGAUGUUGGGUUAAGUCCCGCAACGAGCGCAACCCUUGAUCUUAGUUGCCAGCAUUCAGUUGGGCACUCUAAGGUGACUGCCGGUGACAAACCGGAGGAAGGUGGGGAUGACGUCAAAUCAUCAUGCCCCUUAUGACCUGGGCUACACACGUGCUACAAUGGACAGAACAAAGGGCAGCGAAACCGCGAGGUUAAGCCAAUCCCACAAAUCUGUUCUCAGUUCGGAUCGCAGUCUGCAACUCGACUGCGUGAAGCUGGAAUCGCUAGUAA
RNAcentral lists this ribosomal RNA (1295 nucleotides) under Bacillus subtilis. RNAcentral's name for it is "bacterial SSU rRNA". It matches the Rfam family "Bacterial small subunit ribosomal RNA", at positions 63 to 1341 of the family's 1533-position model. Lineage: Bacteria; Bacillati; Bacillota; Bacilli; Caryophanales; Bacillaceae. The record is from RNAcentral.